Molecule: ribosomal RNA, 500 nt
Filed under: uncultured bacterium
Lineage: Bacteria
Description: partial 16S ribosomal RNA
Rfam family: Bacterial small subunit ribosomal RNA
Source: RNAcentral
AUUGAACGCUGGCGGCAUGCCUUACACAUGCAAGUCGAACGGCAGCACGGGAGCAAUCCUGGUGGCGAGUGGCGAACGGGUGAGUAAUAUAUCGGAACGUGCCCAGUCGUGGGGGAUAACGUAGCGAAAGCUACGCUAAUAACGCCUACGAUCUAUGGAUGAAAGCGGGGGAUCGCAAGACCUCGCGCGAUUGGAGCGGCCGAUAGCAGAUUAGGUAGUUGGUGAGGUAAAGGACCACAAAGCCGACGAUCUGUAGCUGGUCUGAGAGGACGACCCGCCACGAUGGGACUGAGACACGGGCCAGAAUCCUACGGGAGGCAGGAGUGGGGAAUUUUGAACAAUGGGCGCAAGCCUGAUCAAGCAAUGCCGCGUGCAGGAUGAAGGCCUUCGGGUUGUAAACUGCUUUUGUACGGAACGAAACGGCUAUGUCUAAUAAAGUUUGCUAAUGACGGUACCGUAAGAAUAAGCACCGGCUAACUACGUGCCAGCAGCCGCCGUAA